This 301-nucleotide ribosomal RNA is filed under the name uncultured bacterium. RNAcentral's name for it is "partial 16S ribosomal RNA". It matches the Rfam family "Bacterial small subunit ribosomal RNA", at positions 509 to 807 of the family's 1533-position model. The record is from RNAcentral.
CAGCCGCCGCGGUAAGACAGAGGAUGCAAGCGUUAUCCGGAAUGAUUGGGCGUAAAGCGUCUGUAGGUGGCUUUUCAAGUCCGCCGUCAAAUCCCAGGGCUCAACCCUGGACAGGCGGUGGAAACUACCAAGCUGGAGUACGGUAGGGGCAGAGGGAAUUUCCGGUAGAGCGGUGAAAUGCGUUGAGAUUGGAAAGAACACCAACGGUGAAAGCACUCUGCUGGGCCGACACUGACACUGAGAGACGAAAGCUAGGGGAGCAAAUGGGAUUAGAUACCCCCGUAGUCCCUGUCUCUUAUAC